UACGUAGGGCGCAAGCGUUAUCCGGAAUUAUUGGGCGUAAAGAGCUCGUAGGCGGUUUGUCGCGUCUGCCGUGAAAGUCCGGGGCUCAACUCCGGAUCUGCGGUGGGUACAGGCAGACUAGAGUGAUGUAGGGGAGACUGGAAUUCCAGGUGUAGCGGUGAAAUGCGUAGAUAUCUGGAGGAACACCGGUGGCGAAGGCGGCAUCCUGGACCGGUAUUGACGCUGAGGCGCGAAAGCCAGGGGAGCAAACGGG
Molecule: ribosomal RNA, 253 nt
Filed under: uncultured bacterium
Lineage: Bacteria
Description: partial 16S ribosomal RNA
Rfam family: Bacterial small subunit ribosomal RNA
Source: RNAcentral